AUGGAACUUAGCUUUUAUAGCCAUGGAAAAUGGUCUAGGAUUUAUGUGGUGACAUAAUUUGUUAUGAUAGAUAAAAUGAUAUACAUGAUGACUCAGAGUUGAUCUAAAAGUGUGAAUAGAUAUAGUCUUGGCUCACAAGUUAGGUGUUUCUUCCCACCUACAUCAAGAAACUUAUGACACAAGCUUGAAUCACUUUUUUUUAUCUAGAUACCAUGACUGUUUCUAGUGGGUAGGUCGUGUUGGCCGAGGUUUUUUAAUCCAGAUACCAUGGGUGUUUCUAGUGUGUAGGUCGUGUGGGCCGAGGGGGGGAGUGUGAGUUCACAUAAUUUGAGCAAAUAAGUCUACAGUACUGACGUUGAACUCAGCUCACAUGCACAUUUUUUGUUAUGUCUUGAAGAAGCACAACCACAAAUAGGUCAAUUUUGAUAAAUACAAUGACGCACGCUCAGCUCCUGAGAAUUAAUAGAGUUUCCCAAAUUUUGAUAAAUACAAUUUUUCAACUCACCUUUUUGGGUACGCUUUUUAGUUAGUGCAAUUUGGUGUAGAUGUGUAUGUGAAAUUGAUUCACCCGUUACCUUCUCUUGUGGAUCCCCUCUUAAUAUUACGGAUGUCCUACGAAUCAAAUCAACCGAAAAAGCCGCUAAACACCGCUACGCUUCUUUCCUUUUUAGGGAUCCACAACUCAUCUUGUGUCGAGUUCUUUAUAAACCUGAAAUACAUAGCACAAGAUAAGAUCAUUACACGUGUUGUCAUCACCACCAAAACUACUUAGGGAGAAAUGCCCUUUCAAAGGCUCUGUUAAUUUUUUUUUCUUUUUUUCUUUUUUGGGCGGUACGUGUUUUUUCUGCGCUUGAAGACUGCGGGAGCCGGGAUUAAAAGACACGCGGGGACAUCGAUGGCAGAUUCGUAAUUUUGGUGAAGUGACGUACCGCGACUGUACCAUCAUCACCAACUCCAAUUUAAUAUCUACUAGCAAAAGAACCCGUCCGUUGCUACGGACAACGGAAAAUUGUAUCAAAACGUCAAAUUAAAUGUUUUUAUGUUUCAUGAGCACAUAUGUAUAUAGCGAUUAUGAUACGUUUAUUUUCAUGGGCUAUACUCUGGUCUCUUUCUCUUUUUUACAUGUUUUAUUUUUAUAUUUCUCCUUGUCCUGCUCUCCUAUAACUCCUAACUAGCUAAGUACCCGUGCGUUGCAACGAAGACACAAAUAUUUCAAUGAUUUACGUCUCAAAUAUAGAUUACGCAUGUCCAUCGACCGAUCGAAUUUUUUUCUUUCCAAAACGUAAUUGACAAACGCAGAACUUACCUUAAUUUGUGGAACUUACCUUCCACAUGGGCUUAAUUUUCUCAAAUAUAGAUUACGCAU
RNAcentral lists this long non-coding RNA (1366 nucleotides) under Brachypodium distachyon (stiff brome). Its description in RNAcentral is "long non-coding RNA (BDIS_LNC002403)". The record is from RNAcentral. Lineage: Eukaryota; Viridiplantae; Streptophyta; Magnoliopsida; Poales; Poaceae.